CCUACGGGUGGCUGCAGUGGGGAAUAUUGCGCAAUGGAGGGAACUCUGACGCAGCAACGCCGCGUGAAGGAUGAAGGUUUUCGGAUUGUAAACUUCUUUGAUCGGGGACGAAAAUGACGGUACCCGAGGAACAAGCCACGGCUAACUACGUGCCAGCAGCCGCGGUAAUACGUAGGGGGCGAGCGUUAUCCGGAAUUACUGGGUGUAAAGGGGGCGUAGGUGGCUGCUUAAGCGUGAGGUGAAAGGCAAUGGCUUAACCAUUGUGAGCCUCUCGAACUGGGUGGCUUGAGUGCAGGAGAGGAAAGCGGAAUUCCUAGUGUAGCGGUGAAAUGCGUAGAUAUUAGGAGGAACACCAGUGGCGAAGGCGGCUUUCUGGACUGCAACUGACACUGAGGCACGAAAGCGUGGGGAGCAAACAGGAUUAGAUACCCCAGUAGUC
Molecule: ribosomal RNA, 439 nt
Filed under: uncultured bacterium
Lineage: Bacteria
Description: bacterial SSU rRNA
Rfam family: Bacterial small subunit ribosomal RNA
Source: RNAcentral